Molecule: ribosomal RNA, 102 nt
Filed under: uncultured bacterium
Lineage: Bacteria
Description: partial 16S ribosomal RNA
Source: RNAcentral
CCUUCGGGUUGUAAAGCUCUGUCACCUGGGACGAAAACACUGACGGUUAAUAGCCGUCGGAAUUGACGGUACCAGGGGAGGAAGCACCGGCUAACUUCGUGC